GCAGUUUGAGAAAGGAAGAGGGUGUGGAGGGCUUGGAAGGACCAGCAGUUUCCCAGGAAGUCGGAGAUGGUUGGGUGUGUGACAACUGCUGUGGUGAGAUCAGCUACAGGACUGGGCUGAUGGGCGAGCUGGUGGCCUCAAAAGACUUCCCAGAUGUCUACCUUGAAGAGUGGGUGACAGAACUCCUCCAGUGGUGCUGGAGGAGUUUCAGAUAAGACAUUAAGAGAAGGCGCCAGGCAGACCUUGUAACGGCCUUCCAGAACCUGAAGGCUGGGGAGGGACUUUCCAUAAGGGCGUGUGGCGACAAAGACAAGGGGAAAUGGCUUUAAACUGGAAGUGGGUAGAUUUAGGCUAGAUAGUAGAAAGAGAUUUGUUACUGUGUGGAUGGUGAGAUACUGGCACAGGCUGCCCUGAGGGGUUGUGGAUGGCACCCAUGUCAUACUGUGGGCAAAGUUUGCAGUCAACAGAGGGGAUGGGUAGGGCCAUCCAUUUGGCAUGGGGACAGGUUGGAUGAGGACCCUGUCCUGAAGUGAGGUGGGGGCAUCCCUCCAACAUGGAGGUGAGAUGGCUCUCCGGCAUGCAAUGGGGAUGUCCCUGUGGAGACGAGGGGGCAAGCUCAAUCUCUUCACCUACAGCCAGGCGUGACCACCUCAAGGCAAACAUCAGCUGCCCUCUGCGAGGAUCCCGCUGGUGGCUUGUCCCCUCUGUCCUUGGUUGGGUGGCUCUGGCCCCCAGCAUCCUGGGAUGUCUGAGGUGCUGGACCCGCUCUGGGACUUCAGUGCCAACCAGGAGUGCCCUCCCUGUUCCCACGUGUCCCCCACACUGCCCUUCUCCCUCACCCGCUCCUCCCUGAACCAGUGAACACUCCAGGACCGCUACCCAAACUGUACUGGAAGAAGGGUUGAGGGCACCCUUUGGCGGUUAUGCCUCCCCAGUGCUCAAAGUAGCACCGCUCCCAGUGCUCCCAGUGUACUCCAUUGUCACCAGUACUCCUUAGUAACCCCCACAGUCCUCAGUGCCCCCAGCCACCCCUCC
RNAcentral lists this long non-coding RNA (1035 nucleotides) under Gallus gallus (chicken). RNAcentral describes it as "lncRNA (ENSGALG00010024048.1)". Lineage: Eukaryota; Metazoa; Chordata; Aves; Galliformes; Phasianidae. The record is from RNAcentral.